GGCGAUCCGAUUUUUCAGGUAACCCCUCAAUUAGCAUUUAAUGCCCAUCUGGUGUUCCCCAGGCGACGCUUGGAGAGGAGGAGAAACACGAUCGCAGCUGGCCACGGAGAAAUCCCGUCGGGCGGCAAGCGACAAGCGCACGACCAGCGAGCGGAAUUUCCUGAGGCUCGGCCCUCGGAUGCCAGGCUAACCCGAUGAUCAUCCCGGGAGCAGACUAGCCUGAAGCCCCGACCGGUCGCCUCGGCUUGCGCCAGCCUUGGCCGACCAACGAG
RNAcentral lists this long non-coding RNA (272 nucleotides) under Phoenix dactylifera (date palm). Its description in RNAcentral is "long non-coding RNA (PDAC_LNC021400)". Lineage: Eukaryota; Viridiplantae; Streptophyta; Magnoliopsida; Arecales; Arecaceae. The record is from RNAcentral.